This 497-nucleotide ribosomal RNA is filed under the name uncultured bacterium. RNAcentral's name for it is "partial 16S ribosomal RNA". It matches the Rfam family "Bacterial small subunit ribosomal RNA", at positions 28 to 507 of the family's 1533-position model. The record is from RNAcentral.
GAUGAACGCUGGCGGCGUGCCUAAUACAUGCAAGUCGAGCGAACGGACGAGAAGCUUGCUUCUCUGAUGUUAGCGGCGGACGGGUGAGUAAUACGUGGAUAACCUACCUAUAAGACUGGGAUAACUUCGGGAAACCGGAGCUAAUACCGGAUAAUAUUUUGAACCGCAUGGUUCAAAAGUGAAAGACGGUCUUGCUGUCACUUAUAGAUGGAUCCGCGCUGCAUUAGCUAGUUGGUAAGGUAACGGCUUACCAAGGCAACGAUGCAUAGCCGACCUGAGAGGGUGAUCGGCCACACUGGAACUGAGACACGGUCCAGACUCCUACGGGAGGCAGCAGUAGGGAAUCUUCCGCAAUGGGCGAAAGCCUGACGGAGCAACGCCGCGUGAGUGAUGAAGGUCUUCGGAUCGUAAAACUGUGUUAUUAGGGAAGAACAUAUGUGUAAGUAACUGUGCACAUCUUGACGGUACCUAAUCAGAAAGCCACGGCUAACUACGUG